CCUACGGGAGGCAGCAGUGGGGAAUUUUGGACAAUGGGCGCAAGCCUGAUCCAGCAAUGCCGCGUGAGUGAAGAAGGCCUUCGGGUUGUAAAGCUCUUUUGUCAGGGAAGAAACGGUGGGGGCUAAUAUCCCUCGCUAAUGACGGUACCUGAAGAAUAAGCACCGGCUAACUACGUGCCAGCAGCCGCGGUAAUACGUAGGGUGCAAGCGUUAAUCGGAAUUACUGGGCGUAAAGCGUGCGCAGGCGGUUUUGUAAGUCUGUCGUGAAAGCCCCGGGCUCAACCUGGGAAUUGCGAUGGAGACUGCAAGGCUUGAAUCUGGCAGAGGGGGGUAGAAUUCCACGUGUAGCAGUGAAAUGCGUAGAGAUGUGGAGGAACACCGGAUGGCGAAGGCAGCCCCCGUGGGUCAAGAUUGACGCUCAUGCACGAAAGCGUGGGGAGCAAACGAGGAUUAGAUACCCUGGUAGUCCACGCCCUAAACGAUGUCUACUAGUUGUCGGGUUUUAAUUAACUUGGUAACGCAGCUAACGCGUGAAGUAGACCGCCGUGGGGAGUACGGUCGCAAGUAUUAAAACCUCAAAUGAAAUUGACCGGUCGUGAGACGUCGACGACGGACGACGACGAGGGAGGUUAGG
RNAcentral lists this ribosomal RNA (634 nucleotides) under uncultured bacterium. RNAcentral describes it as "bacterial SSU rRNA". It matches the Rfam family "Bacterial small subunit ribosomal RNA", at positions 338 to 961 of the family's 1533-position model. The record is from RNAcentral.